AAGUGCAGCCAUGAGUUUCCGUGC
Molecule: microRNA, 24 nt
Filed under: Oryza sativa (Asian cultivated rice)
Lineage: Eukaryota; Viridiplantae; Streptophyta; Magnoliopsida; Poales; Poaceae
Also listed under: 1 other name
Description: osa-miR812n-5p
Gene: osa-miR812n-5p
Source: miRBase by way of RNAcentral